This is a non-coding RNA of Callithrix jacchus (white-tufted-ear marmoset), 914 nucleotides long. The record is from RefSeq and is a predicted model, not a curated record. NCBI's taxonomy places the organism in Eukaryota, Metazoa, Chordata, Mammalia, Primates, Cebidae.
GUUCUGUAACAAGGAUAUAGUCCGAAGCUAACAGUGGAUACUGGAAUUGCAGGAAUGCUUAUAGCUUCUGCCUAAUAUCUAGAAAGCUGGAAAUGUUUUAACUUUGCUAACAACAAGAAAAAAUAAUGAACAAAAUCAUAAUUUGUCUUGAACCACCCCCCAACUCGAGAACUGAGGUAAGGCACCAAAAUAGCCUGAAAUUCUAAGGAAAAAUAGGCACCUUCAAGAGGAGAGAAGAUGAAAAGCCCUGACUUACCUGUGGCAAAGCAUAAGGGGAACGAAAGCCCACCAUACCAGCAGCAAGUGCCAAAUAACAAGUACCAAGACAACAACAGAAGUCUACUUUUGGGGAAGAGGCAAAAGCAUGGAGAACUCUGAGGUACACAUUUGUAGAGAAGGCAUAAAGUUAAGGAAGAAGCAGGACAUUGAGGAAAAACCCUCUGGGAACCAAAUCCCACCUUAGGCACUAGGUAAAUCUUGUGCAAUUUUAAACCUGUGGUACACAGAACAUAAACAUAGCAACAGCAAAAGACAAAUCUUGCUCAAUUCCUGACUAUAUUGACUCAAACCUCUACAAGCAAACAGUAGAAAUGUCAUUUCCAGUAAUAAAUAGUACUUAUUACUAUUUAUCUCCAUUUCUACUGUCCUACCUUCUCUGUCCAGCAAGAAAUUAAAAAGUACAAGAUACAAAAAAGCCAAAAAAAUAAUAAUUUAAACCCAUUUUCAAGAGACAAGGCAAUCAAUAGAACCAGAUUUGGAGAUGCCAAUGAUGUUGGAUCAGAUAGGAAAUUUUAAAUAAUUAUGAUUAAAAUGUUAGCCUUUAAUGGAAAAGGUAGGGAACACGCGUGGACAGAUAAGGAAAAUCAGCAGAGGCCGGGCAUUACGGUAGCUCACACCUGUAAUCCCUGCACUUU